GACGAACGCUGGCGGCGUGCUUAACACAUGCAAGUCGAACGGAAAGGCCCUGCUUUUGUUGGUGGCUCUGGUGGCGAACGGGUGAGUAACGCGAGAGUAACCUACCCUGGACUUUGGUAUAACUUCAGGGAACUGGGGCUAAGACCAUAUGGGAGCUCCUGCUUCUGUGUGGUGGUGGGAAUGGUUCGGCGGUUGGGUAUGUAGGCGCGGCUUAUCAGCUUGUUGGUGGGGUAGUGGCUUACCCAGGCUUUGACGGGUAGACGGCCUGAGAGGGUCACCGGCACGAUUGGGACUGCGAUACGGCCCAGCAUUCUACGGGAGGGCGCAGUGGGGAAAAGUCUAAAACGGGGGGAAGCCUGAUGCAGUAACGCCGCGUGCGGGAUGACGGCCUUCGGGUUGUAAAGCGGUUUUGCCUGUGACGAAGCGUGAUUGACGGUAAUGGGUAAAGAAGCACCGGCUAACUACGUG
RNAcentral lists this ribosomal RNA (468 nucleotides) under uncultured bacterium. Its description in RNAcentral is "partial 16S ribosomal RNA". It matches the Rfam family "Bacterial small subunit ribosomal RNA", at positions 28 to 507 of the family's 1533-position model. The record is from RNAcentral.